This is a long non-coding RNA of Oreochromis niloticus (Nile tilapia), 494 nucleotides long. RefSeq lists it as uncharacterized. The transcript has 3 exons. NCBI's taxonomy places the organism in Eukaryota, Metazoa, Chordata, Actinopteri, Cichliformes, Cichlidae. The record is from RefSeq and is a predicted model, not a curated record.
GAGGCGGUCGCCAUCGCUGUCCAACACUACGUAGCUGGCCUGCAGGCCACGCCCCUCAGUACCUCCAUACAACACCUGAUAGGGAAGAAGACAGGAGCUGAUUGUACCAUUGAGUUUAAGAGAAGACGAGAUGAUCACAGCCGUCUGGACUUAGAUUAAUUGAAUGAGUGCCCCCUGACAUCAUGGUUUCGUGUGGAUCAUUUAGUUGAUGGUUGGUGUGAAGUGAUGAAGAACCAAAGAUUGUGUACAUCAUCUGAGCUUUUAAGAAGCUUCCUUAAUACAUUGGAAUCAGACAACCAGGACAAUUGAGGUCCUCCUGGAUAAGUCCAUAAAGAGAAGGGCUCGGUCAAUGAUGUCUCCUUUUUCCUUCAGAAUGGAGAAAUCAGACUUGGAGGAUCAGAAGAGUUAGGUCCUGUUGGCUGAUUGGAUAACAGACCUUUGGAUGCGGAGCAGUCCUCGUCUAGCACUUUGAUAUCAUACCAGUACCCUCUGCU